CGUAGGGGGCAAAGCGUUGUCCCGGAAUUAUUUGGGCGUAAAGCGCGCGCAGGGCGGUCCUUUAAGUCUGAUGUGAAAGCCCACGGCUCAACCCGUGGAGGGUCAUUGGAAACUGGAGGACUUGAGUACAGAAGAGGAGAGUGGAAUUUCCACGUGUAGCGGUGAAAUGCGUAGAGAUGUGGAGGAACACCAGUGGCGAAGGCGACUCUCUGGUCUGUAACUGACGCUGAGGCGCGAAAGCGUGGGGAGCGAACAGGAUUAGAUACCCUGGUAGUCCACGCCGUAAACGAUGAGUGCUAGGUGUUAGGGGGUUUCCGCCCCUUAGUGCUGAAGUUAACGCAUUAAGCACUCCGCCUGGGGAGUACGGCCGCAAGGCUGAAACUCAAAAGAAUUGACGGGGGCCCGCACAAGCGGUGGAGCAUGUGGUUUAAUUCGACGCAACGCGAAGAACCUUACCAGGUCUUGACAUCCUCUGCAAUCGGUAGAGAUACCGAGUUCCCUUCGGGGACAGAGUGACAGGUGGUGCAUGGUUGUCGUCAGCUCGUGUCGUGAGAUGUUGGGUUAAGUCCCGCAACGAGCGCAACCCUUGAUCUUAGUUGCCAGCAUUUAGUUGGGCACUCUAAGGUGACUGCCGGUGACAAACCGGAGGAAGGUGGGGAUGACGUCAAAUCAUCAUGCCCCUUAUGACCUGGGCUACACACGUGCUACAAUGGAUGGAACAAAGGGAAGCAAAACCGCGAGGUCAAGCAAAUCCCAUAAAACCAUUCUCAGUUCGGAUUGCAGGCUGCAACUCGCCUGCAUGAAGCCGGAAUCGCUAGUAAUCGCGGAUCAGCAUGCCGCGGUGAAUACGUUCCCGGGCCUUGUACACACCGCCCGUCACACCACGAGAGUUGGUAACACCCGAAGUCGGUGAGGUAAC
RNAcentral lists this ribosomal RNA (919 nucleotides) under Virgibacillus halodenitrificans. RNAcentral's name for it is "bacterial SSU rRNA". It matches the Rfam family "Bacterial small subunit ribosomal RNA", at positions 526 to 1439 of the family's 1533-position model. Lineage: Bacteria; Bacillati; Bacillota; Bacilli; Caryophanales; Bacillaceae. The record is from RNAcentral.